Molecule: ribosomal RNA, 508 nt
Filed under: uncultured bacterium
Lineage: Bacteria
Description: partial 16S ribosomal RNA
Rfam family: Bacterial small subunit ribosomal RNA
Source: RNAcentral
AUUGAACGCUGGCGGCAUGCCUUACACAUGCAAGUCGAACGGCAGCGGGGGAGAAGCUUGCUUUUCCUGCCGGCGAGUGGCGAACGGGUGAGUAAUACAUCGGAACGUGCCCUGUAGUGGGGGAUAACUAGUCGAAAGAUUAGCUAAUACCGCAUACGACCUGAGGGUGAAAGGGGGGGACCGCAAGGCCUCAUGCUAUAGGAGCGGCCGAUGUCUGAUUAGCUAGUUGGUGGGGUAAAGGCCUACCAAGGCGACGAUCAGUAGCUGGUCUGAGAGGACGAUCAGCCACACUGGGACUGAGACACGGCCCAGACUCCUACGGGAGGCAGCAGGGGGGAAUUUUGGACAAUGGGCGAAAGCCUGAUCCAGCAAUGCCGCGUGUGUGAAGAAGGCCUUCGGGUUGUAAAGCACUUUUGUCCGGAAAGAAAUGGCUCUGGUUAAUACCUGGGGUCGAUGACGGUACCGGAAGAAUAAGGACCGGCUAACUACGUGCCAGCCGCCGCAGUAA